This 250-nucleotide ribosomal RNA is filed under the name uncultured bacterium. RNAcentral's name for it is "partial 16S ribosomal RNA". It matches the Rfam family "Bacterial small subunit ribosomal RNA", at positions 524 to 773 of the family's 1533-position model. The record is from RNAcentral.
UACAGAGGGUGCGAGCGUUAAUCGGAAUUACUGGGCGUAAAGCGUGCGCAGGCGGUUUUGUAAGACAGGCGUGAAAUCCCCGAGCUUAACUUGGGAAUGGCGCUUGUGACUGCAAGGCUAGAGUAUGUCAGAGGGGGGUAGAAUUCCACGUGUAGCAGUGAAAUGCGUAGAGAUGUGGAGGAAUACCGAUGGCGAAGGCAGCCCCCUGGGACGUCACUGACGCUCAUGCACGAAAGCGUGGGGAGCAAAC